RNAcentral lists this microRNA precursor (62 nucleotides) under Drosophila melanogaster (fruit fly). RNAcentral describes it as "Dme-Mir-991_pre stem-loop". The record is from RNAcentral. Lineage: Eukaryota; Metazoa; Arthropoda; Insecta; Diptera; Drosophilidae.
UUUCCCAACUACACCUAUUAAUACAUAUUUUAACGUCCUAUUAAAGUUGUAGUUUGGAAAGU